AGCAGCCGCGGUAAUUCCAGCUCCAAUAGCGUAUAUUAAAGUUGUUGCAGUUAAAAAGCUCGUAGUUGAAUUUCGGGAUUGACGUGACGGUCAUGCCUUAAGGGGUAUGAACUGUUACAGUUGAUUUCUCACCUUCUGGAGAAACUUGAUGUCCUUUAUUGGGUGUCUUGCGGAUCCAGGACCUUUACCUUGAAAAAUUAGAGUGUUUAAAGCAGGCAUUUUUGCUCGAAUACAUUAGCAUGGAAUAAUAGAAUAGGACGGCAUGGUUCUAUUUUGUUGGUUUCUAGGAUCACCGUAAUGAUUAAUAGGGAUAGUUGGGGGCAUUAGUAUUCAAUUGUCAGAGGUGAAAUUCUUGGAUUUAUUGAAGACUAACUACUGCGAAAGCAUUUGCCAAGGAUGUUUUCAUUAAUCAAGAACGAAAGUUAGGGGAUCGAAGACGAUCAGAUACCGUCGUAGUCUUAACCAUAAACUAUGCCGACUAGGAAUCAGACGAUGUUAAUUUUUAAUGACUCGUUU
RNAcentral lists this ribosomal RNA (516 nucleotides) under uncultured Entrophospora. RNAcentral's name for it is "SSU rRNA". It matches the Rfam family "Eukaryotic small subunit ribosomal RNA", at positions 569 to 1081 of the family's 1831-position model. Lineage: Eukaryota; Fungi; Glomeromycota; Glomeromycetes; Entrophosporales; Entrophosporaceae. The record is from RNAcentral.